GAUGAACGCUGGCGGCGUGCCUAAUACAUGCAAGUCGAGCGAACAGACGAGGAGCUUGCUCCUCUGAUGUUAGCGGCGGACGGGUGAGUAACACGUGGAUAACCUACCUAUAAGACUGGGAUAACUUCGGGAAACCGGAGCUAAUACCGGAUAAUAUAUUGAACCGCAUGGUUCAAUAGUGAAAGACGGUUUUGCUGUCACUUAUAGAUGGAUCCGCGCCGCAUUAGCUAGUUGGUAAGGUAACGGCUUACCAAGGCAACGAUGCGUAGCCGACCUGAGAGGGUGAUCGGCCACACUGGAACUGAGACACGGUCCAGACUCCUACGGGAGGCAGCAGUAGGGAAUCUUCCGCAAUGGGCGAAAGCCUGACGGAGCAACGCCGCGUGAGUGAUGAAGGUCUUCGGAUCGUAAAACUCUGUUAUUAGGGAAGAACAAAUGUGUAAGUAACUAUGCACGUCUUGACGGUACCUAAUCAGAAAGCCACGGCUAACUACGUG
Molecule: ribosomal RNA, 497 nt
Filed under: uncultured bacterium
Lineage: Bacteria
Description: partial 16S ribosomal RNA
Rfam family: Bacterial small subunit ribosomal RNA
Source: RNAcentral